Molecule: non-coding RNA, 178 nt
Filed under: Anaerolineae bacterium
Lineage: Bacteria; Bacillati; Chloroflexota; Anaerolineae
Description: 6S RNA
Rfam family: 6S / SsrS RNA
About the family: E. coli 6S RNA was the first non coding RNA to be sequenced, but its function was unknown until recently. It consists of 184 nucleotides that fold into an extended hairpin structure with a large single-stranded internal bulge.
Source: RNAcentral
AAUACCCUGCUAUGUUUGUGAUGUGGCAUACAAUGUUUUGAGCCAACACAUGAAAUAAUGGGUUCUUAUCUUACGUGUGUGACGCGAUAGGCUUAGGCCAAGGCGGAGCUUACGAGGCGGAGCCCGACCUGUAAAAGCAGGUUCAAAACAAAGCUACACACAGCAUGGCGGGGACCUU